AUUGAACGCUGGCGGCAUGCCUUACACAUGCAAGUCGAACGGCAGCACGGGUGCUUGCACCUGGUGGCGAGUGGCGAACGGGUGAGUAAUACAUCGGAACAUGUCCUGUAGUGGGGGAUAGCCCGGCGAAAGCCGGAUUAAUACCGCAGACGAUCUACGGAUGAAAGCGGGGGACCUUCGGGCCUCGCGCUAUAGGGUUGGCCGAUGGCGGAUUAGCUAGUUGGUGGGGUAAAGGCCUACCAAGGCGACGAUCAGUAGCUGGUCUGAGAGGACGACCAGCCACACUGGAACUGAGACACGGCCCAGACUCCUACGGGAGGCAGCAGUGGGGAAUUUUGGACAAUGGGCGAAAGCCUGAUCCAGCAAUGCCGCGUGUGUGAAGAAGGCCUUCGGGUUGUAAAGCACUUUUGUCCGGAAAGAAAUACUUGGCCCUAAUACGGUCGGGGGAUGACGGUACCGGAAGAAUAAGCACCGGCUAACUACGUG
This 486-nucleotide ribosomal RNA is filed under the name uncultured bacterium. RNAcentral describes it as "partial 16S ribosomal RNA". It matches the Rfam family "Bacterial small subunit ribosomal RNA", at positions 30 to 507 of the family's 1533-position model. The record is from RNAcentral.